This 253-nucleotide ribosomal RNA is filed under the name uncultured bacterium. RNAcentral's name for it is "partial 16S ribosomal RNA". It matches the Rfam family "Bacterial small subunit ribosomal RNA", at positions 524 to 776 of the family's 1533-position model. The record is from RNAcentral.
UACGUAGGGUGCAAGCGUUGUCCGGAAUUAUUGGGCGUAAAGAGCUCGUAGGCGGUUUGUCGCGUCUGCUGUGAAAACUCAGGGCUUAACCCUGAGCCUGCUUCCGAUACGGGCAGACUAGAGGUAUGCAGGGGAGAACGGAAUUCCUGGUGUAGCGGUGGAAUGCGCAGAUAUCAGGAGGAACACCGGUGGCGAAGGCGGUUCUCUGGGCAUUACCUGACGCUGAGGAGCGAAAGUGUGGGGAGCGAACAGG